AAGUCGUAACAAGGUUUCCGUAGGUGAACCUGGAGAAACAUUGCCUAUAGAACUACCGCUCGAUUGUAACUGUUCCAAUGUUCGCACGUAGCCAGAGGUCUCUGAAUCACUACAACUUUCCGGGCUAUGAUUUAUCAGAGAUUGCAAACUACGCGGGUUACAAGAGCAGGAUGAAGGUUCACGGGGGGGGGUUUUUAACGUUUGGAUACGUGUUAAUAAUCCUUCCGCAAGCAGUCAGUGUCGGAAAGUGUCAUUGAUUGUGCAAGGAUAGCGCUUCUACGAUUCCUGUAGACCGUACACUCGGGCAGGAGCUUUGCCAAAGGGUCCCCAUGCCCCCUAAUAACCCCACAGUUUAAUGUGAAGCUCAAUGUAAUACAUUGGGUAAAAAAACCGAACAACAGUUAACAAUGGAUAUCUUGGUUCUC
Molecule: unclassified non-coding RNA, 425 nt
Filed under: fungal sp.
Lineage: Eukaryota; Fungi
Description: partial internal transcribed spacer region
Source: RNAcentral